GGAGGUAGUGACAAUAAAUCUCAAUACGAAGCCUUUGGUUUUGUAAUUGAAUUGAGAACAAUGUACAAUCGUUAUCGAUAAACAAUUGGAGGGCAAGUCUGGUGCCAGCAGCCGCGGUAAUUCCAGCUCCAAUAGCGUAUAUUAACGUUGUUGCAGUUAAAAAGCUCGUAGUUGAAGUUUAGAUAAUUUAUUGAAAGUGUUUGUAUUCGUACAUUCUACUUUUAUGUAAGUUAUCGACAUCCAGGUGGGUGCUCUGAUUCCUUCGGGGGUUAGGGUACUAGACUGGUCAUUUACUGUGAGAAAAUUAGAGUGUUUAAAGCAGACUUUUAUCAAAAUAGUUUGAAUAGAUUAGCAUGGAAUAAUAAGAUUGGCUUUCAUAGUCGAUUUUUUGGUUUGUUUAUGAAAGCAAGAUUAAUAGGGACAGUUGGGGGUAUUCAUAUUCAAUAGCUAGAGGUGAAAUUCUAUGAUUUAUGGAAGAUGAACAAGUGCGAAAGCA
This 496-nucleotide ribosomal RNA is filed under the name Blastocystis sp. RNAcentral's name for it is "SSU rRNA". It matches the Rfam family "Eukaryotic small subunit ribosomal RNA", at positions 460 to 953 of the family's 1831-position model. The record is from RNAcentral. Lineage: Eukaryota; Bigyra; Opalinata; Blastocystidae.